UUUACCUUGUGUAUUGAUGUUUCGGGAAUUGUCUUAAGCCGAAACAUUUUGCAUGAGAAAACAAGGACUACGGGUCUGGGGGAAGGGAGAGCCCCCCCUAGAAUGGGGUGGGCGCUUUAGGGGGCCGAGAUCCCCCGGGAGUGCGGGUGGGCCGGGAGCCAGCGCGGGCAGCGCUCCGUGCCCCCCUCCCUUCCUCCCUUCCUCCAUCCCCUCCCCCUUCCCCUGCAGCGCGGGCUUUUCCGAAUUUCCCGGCGGCCCAAUGAGCGGCUGCGGCCUCUCCCGGCGCCAAUCCCGGGCAGCUCCCGCGCCGCUCCGCCCUUCCCGCCGCCCCGCCCGGCCGCGCUGCGCCGCCAGCCCGCGGAGAGCCGCGCUGGGCACUCCCGCCCGCCGCCCGCCCCAGCGAGCGCCUCCUGCGGAAAGUAGGUCGGUGAAAUCACGCAGAAAUGGAGAGCUGCCCCGCGCCGGCGAGCGGGAGGGUCACUGCCAGGGAAGCGAGGAGCCGCGCUGACAGCUCCCUGCUGCGGUCACUGAGAGGAGUGGCAGUCGCGUCCGUGCUGCUCGGAAUCGCGCUGGUUUAGAGCAACGAGAGGAACCUCCACGCCCCAGAAAGGUGAAGUAAUAAAUACUCUGAAGGAAAGGAAAAAAAUGUGGAAAAAAAUUAGGCCUGACGGUACUCCACGGUAAAAAACAGACUGAAAGGGAUAUGGAAUGGGCUGUGAGAUCUGCCAUGCCUCUCCUGAACGUGACAUUGGUCCCACAAAAACAACUGCACCGAGUCCACAGGAGCCAUAGAUUUUGCAAGUCGUUUGAGAGACCAACUAACUUUGUAUUGAUUUCUGAAGAAAGCUGAAGAAAAAGAAGAAGAAGGUAAGUGCAGAAAGAUGAAGAAACAUAGGAAUCUACAUGCAAAAAUAUGGAAAUGAAACACUACCUGCAACCUUUACAGAGUGCCUGGAAAGAACUGGAAUGUGGUAUUUGAAACUAUGUGACAUGCUCUGUCCUCCCAGGGGUGCACAACAGAAUAAAUUUUAAUUUUUUCCUUUUUUUUGUGAUGGAUAUUGUAAAUACUGAUUUAGUCAGAAAUGCAAAUUGAAAUUAUGCCAUCCAUAUAGAAUAACUUUGUCCUACCCCUUCAGGGAGACCCAGGACGUACAUGCAGUUGGAUGCCAUUUCCUAAGAUAUCAAAAGUAAUUCCAGCCCUUUGUUCUGAGUGGAGGGAAGUUGGAUGCUGAAAAUUUUCCUGGGACAAUAUGCUGCAGGCCCAGCUAUGCACCCAGACUGUGCAGCCUCUCUUACUCUUUUAGUUUCUGAGCAGUAUGGCCAAGACCUAAGCACAAAAUCAUUUUGGGCUACAGAUUAGUGCAUUUCUUGGGUUACAGACUCAGCACACACUGAGGAAGGGAUAACUCAUUGAUGUUGAGUUGCAGUAACUACAAGGUCAAACAGUAUCUAAUUUUUCUUCAUUUUAUAUGAAUAAAAAUUAGAAUUUACAGUACUCAAAACAGAUAUAAAGGAAGAAAUGAAACCCAUAUUUAAUAGGCUUUUUCCAAAAUUUACUUUAGGAAGAGCCUCAGUACAGGGUGCAAUGUUUCUCUAGAACUUGCUGAUACACUACAGAUUUUCUCUCAGUUUUAUUUUGUUUAAUUUUAGGAAAGUAUUAUAAAUGAAAGUAAUAAUCAGGAAACACCAACAUUUCCAGGGUAGAAAUUUAUAUUUAAAUGUUUAUAUUUGUCAACUAUGAAAUUAAAACACAGUCUCAAACAGCCUAGGACUGCAGGGAGCAGUCCUAGGCCUGGUAUAGUUUUAUUUAUGAUUUGAAUUAUAGUCUACAGAGCUUGCAUAUAGAUACUGUGAGUAUCAACUAGAAAAAAAUUAAAAUGUUUGAGGACAUUUUAUGUAUUGAAAAAUGCUGGAUAAGAGACACUGCCUUCAAAUAUGUGUUAGAUUCUUCACCUGGAAUAAACUGUAUCAGCUUUACAAGUAUUAGGAAAUAUUGCAAAAGUGCUACAGUCAGCAGGAGCUGACGAGCACCUCAGUAGAUCUGGAUCUUCAGAUGGUAGUUCUGUGUUGAUAAUGAAUCAAACCACUACGUUGGCAGAAAAAGAUCACAGUGACUGCUUCCCUGAGACAGCUGGAGAAGAUCUUUGCAGACAGGAAUGGUCUAAUAGGAGAAAACUCCUAUUUGGAGUUUUAGCCUUUUUUUUAGUUCCAAAUUUCAGGUAGUGAGAAGUGAGCGUAAGUCAAUACACAGAAGGGAGAAAUAGUGAUUUUCAGAUGUCUAAAAAUUCUUCCCUGAUGAAAAGGCAAGUGUUAUUGAAGUACCCUGACUGAAAGAGAAUGCUGCAAAACUAAAGUUUCUCCUUAAACAUUUAAAACAUUAUGAGCAAGGAAGCCAUUUUUCCUUAAUAUACAUUUUUGAAAGUAAAGGAACCGAUGAUCUUUGCAGCAAGUUAGCAGUAAGGAAAUAACUUCUAAUAUGGAGUGGAAAAUGUUACAGGGAAUGUCAGCACUCUCCAAGAAGCAGAGUGAUUACAUCUCAGAAAUAAAAUGGGUUCUGUUGUCUUGAUAGUGGAUGGAGUGCAACAAAAAUUGCUCAUGUCUAGGUAUAGGUCAUUAUCACUGAACUGUUGAUUAAAGAUUAUCUGUGUGGAAAAAGGAGGAAACUUGUAUGCAAUAUACUUGACAUUUCAAUAUGUUUUUGGAACCAUCUCCCAAGUGUUCUUGUUUGGGUUCAGAGCAACAACAGGCGGGAUCAGCAGGCUCUUAGAUAUUUGAAAAUUGUCUGUAGCACAGGGCCAAGGGGCUGUAGUCAACAACUUAGUGUUUGCAAACAACCAGUUAUCAAAACAGUGCUCCAGGGCUGGUUUUAUUUAGUGUUUUCUGGAACAACCUGGGUGCUGAGGCAGAGUGUGCACUUAGCUAGUGUGGCAAGCACAAAGUGAAGAUGGCUAGACGGGGUCAAAAUAAAUACUUUCAGACAAAAGAGAUGUUAAUAAACUUGAGGCAUGGGCUGACAGAAAUCUUGUGCAGUUUGUUGAAGAGAAGUGCCAAGUUGUGCACAUGAAGGCACUUGCAUGCUACUGCCUCAGCACAGCCCAGGGAUGGCUGGUCUGACCUGGGCAGGACCUGGACAUUGUGGGGAAUUCCAUAACUGCUCUAUCCUUAAGGAUGAGCUGCUUUGUCCAGAGCAUGACCACGAAUAAAUCCCUGUAAGUGCCUGGGGUUUUCAACUGGAAUUUUUCUGUUUUCCAACCAAUUAUUGCUGUAACAAAAACAGAGCACAGCAGCAGUGUCUGGAGUCACUAACCAAAGGCACAUUGCCAUUUUUCAGAGUUGGUUUCCUGCAGAAACGCAUAGCCCAAGACAAUAUUCAAUAAAUUCCUACAAGGAUGCUCACAUUAGAUUUGCACUUGGAAAACCAUGCCCCAGAGAGAGCAUUUGGACAAGGCAGCACUUCAGCUGCUUUUAAGUGCUUGCAGCCCUGUGAGGGUUGGCAGAGUUCAGCUGAAAAACGUGCAGCCCAGCCCAGCUCUGCACGAGCCCAGGCAACAAGAGGGGCUCAGCUACUCAUUCUCAGCUGUGCAAAAAGUGUGGUGCUUACAAUUCUUCCUGGAAUCAUCUUUCUAGCUUAACCAAGGGACUGUGCAUCGUGAGACCUGUGCUGCUUCAGUCAAAACGCCAGUUUAGGAAGAAGAGAAAGGAUUGAGAGAAGCAAAGCUCCUGAGCAUCCGUGCGAGCUGGGGCUGCUGAGUCGCUGGUUUGCUGCUUACUGUGUCUCUGCCAGAAUGCAGGAGUAGAUUUGCAUGGGUGCUGCUGGGCUCAGAGCUCCAAGGCCCCCCUGGAGCACUUGUUAGAUAGAGCACUCUGGUGCUUUCCUCAGAGAAGCCAGGAAUGCUGUGGCCAUGGCCAGAAUUUGCUCAAUGUUGUUGUCCUUGCCCCCCCGUACAGGUUAUUGUUCCUUCUCUCCCAUACCCUGUAAAAGCUUCAUGUGAAAAACUGGGUAUUUCAUUAACUUCCCAACACCCCAAACCUCAUCUAGGAGUUCCUGCAGCCUUUUUUCCUGGACCUAUUAAGCUGUACCAGCUGUUCCAGCUGUUCAGUGAGCCUGCAAGGCCUCAGCUCGUGCAUGGAGUGAUGGGGGUGAGGCCCGUGCAGAGACUCAGACAGCAUGCCCACAAGACAAUUUUGGGAAGAUUUUGCCUCUGUGUGGAUCAUCUGAUCUGUAAGCCACUCUGUGUGAAUGGCAAACUGCAUCUCAAAGGUCAGCCUAAGGUGCUGGGCCAUGACAGAGGUCUUUUCUUGAUUUAUCAAUCCUUGUGUAUUUUCUGAAUUUGGCAGCAAGAAGGAAGUUGGAAAGAGCCCAAACCAGGGCUAAAGCCCAAACUCUUAUCUCUGACCAGCUGCAGUGGUUAAAUAAAAAGAUGAGAAUGGGUCUCUCCACCUCUGACUGACUGAAUUAGCAGGGAAAGGCAGAGAAAAUACUAAAUUAGUUAUCAGUGUAGCAGUCACUAAACAAAAUUUGUGGCAUUUGCUACUUUUGCUUGGACAGCAUAAAGCAUUUCUGCAUUUAUUCUGCUGCCAGAAGAUUCCAUCCAAAUGGUAAAUCCACACAUGCAAAUAUUGACUUUUGUGCCUCAGUCUCAAAAUCAGAGCUUUCUGUGCUUAAAA
Long non-coding RNA from Passer montanus (Eurasian tree sparrow), 4668 nucleotides. RefSeq lists it as uncharacterized. The record is from RefSeq and is a predicted model, not a curated record. NCBI's taxonomy places the organism in Eukaryota, Metazoa, Chordata, Aves, Passeriformes, Passeridae. The transcript is spliced from 3 exons.